GACGAACGCUGGCGGCGUGCUUAACACAUGCAAGUCGAACGGUGAAGGGAUCAGCUUGCUGGUUCUGGAUGAGUGGCGAACGGGUGAGUAACACGUGAGUAACCUGCCCCCUUCUUCUGGAUAACCGCAUGAAAGUGUGGCUAAUACGGGAUAUUCUGGGUCUGUCGCAUGAUGGGUCUGGGAAAGAUAUUGUUUCGGUGGGGGAUGGGCUCGCGGCCUAUCAGCUUGUUGGUGGGGUGAUGGCCUACCAAGGCGGUGACGGGUAGCCGGCCUGAGAGGGGGGACGGUCACACUGGGACUGCGACACGGCCCAGACUCCUACGGGAGGCAGCAGUGGGGAAUAUUGCACAAUGGGCGCAAGCCUGAUGCAGCGACGCCGCGUGAGGGAUGGAGGCCUUCGGGUUGUAAACCUCUUUCGCCAGUGAAGCAGGCCUGCUCCUUGUGGGUGGGUUGACGGUAGCUGGAUAAGAAGCGCCGGCUAACUACGUG
RNAcentral lists this ribosomal RNA (489 nucleotides) under uncultured bacterium. RNAcentral's name for it is "partial 16S ribosomal RNA". It matches the Rfam family "Bacterial small subunit ribosomal RNA", at positions 28 to 507 of the family's 1533-position model. The record is from RNAcentral.